UACGUAGGAGACGAGCGUUGUCCGGAGUUACUGGGCGUAAAGGGCGCGCAGGUGGCGGCGCGCGUGGGGGGUGAAAUCGCCCGGCUUAACUGGGCGGGGGCCUUCCAGACGGCGUGGCUUGAGCAGCGGAGGGGGACGUGGAAUUCCGGGUGGAGCGGUGAAAUGCGUAGAUAUCGGAAGGAACACCAGUGGCGAAAGCGGCUUCCUGGUCCAGCACCGACAUUCAGGCACGAAAGCGUGGGGAGCAAACAGG
This 253-nucleotide ribosomal RNA is filed under the name uncultured bacterium. RNAcentral's name for it is "partial 16S ribosomal RNA". It matches the Rfam family "Bacterial small subunit ribosomal RNA", at positions 524 to 776 of the family's 1533-position model. The record is from RNAcentral.